AAAAGAAAAAAAUAAAUAAAAGAAAAUGGUUGAAGAUUUAUUGACGACCACAUGCUGCCACGCAACAAAAACGUGAUUUCACCCUUGGAACUGGACUUCACCACUUUGAUUCCUGAUUUUGAUUUUGAAGAAAGUGAUUUAUAGCUACACACUACAAAGGUCAAGCCAGAGAACAGAAUAAAUAAAAUAAAGCAGGCCCAAGACGACGCUAAACGGAGUGCCCGGCGUUUUGAUUUCCACCCAUUGCCUUGGUUUUUUGGCAUGAAGUGCGAAGUAACUUGGAUGCACUCAUGCGCAGGGAGGGCCCCGAGAAUGAAAAUGGGGAAUAGGAAUGGGAAUGGUGCAACCUUGGAAGAACCCAGCGCUCUAUGAUCAUGAUCACGGCCUCUGUCCAUCAUUUUACUGCGGCUUACCGGCGCCAAGACGCCCUGAUAGGUCUCCUACGCUUGCCGCGCAUGACCCGUUGGGCGCGCAGAGGAGGAGGCAGGUCGUUCCAGCACCGGGACGCCGCAAAUCUGAAUGAUCCGCGAAAAGCUGCUGUGCGAUGUUUGGGUGUAGCAAAUAUCUCCACGUACUGCUGUCUCAGAGAGAGAUAGCUAUGAAACCAUCGUAUGGAGGAAUCAUCAAGACCAUAAUAACGCAACUUGGAGAGAAGCAGAGGAAUAUUAAUGGAGUCGAAGGCGCGCGAGAAGUCCAGCAGCACCAGCGUCGAAACCAACCCCCCAUCCUGAGCAGCCAGAAGGUCAUCAAUCACAUCCGAAAGAGCAGUAGCCGUCCCAAAACCCUUGCGGAAUCCCGAUUGACGGCGCGGGAGCAGUUCCUGUUCCUCAAGGUAUUUAGUUAAUUGAUCACAGACUAUACGCUCGAGGAUUUUGGACAAACAUGGUAGGAUGCUGAUAGGCCUCAAGUCCUGAACUGAAGCAGGAUGACCAGUUUUUGGUAGUGGCCUUACGACUGCCACCUUCCAACAGUCUGGAAAGAUCCCUUGCAGUAUAGAACCAUUCACUAUGUCGGUGAGUGCUUUGAGUGAGUAAGGCAAUGUGAGCAUCAGCAUAUCCAGUGUGAUGCCGUCACUUCCCUGAGCAUUCGAUUUGAGCGCUGUGAUGGUUCUUAAGACAACGUC
Long non-coding RNA from Ostrinia nubilalis (European corn borer), 1123 nucleotides. RefSeq lists it as uncharacterized. Lineage: Eukaryota; Metazoa; Arthropoda; Insecta; Lepidoptera; Crambidae. The record is from RefSeq and is a predicted model, not a curated record. The transcript is spliced from 4 exons.